This 703-nucleotide ribosomal RNA is filed under the name fungal endophyte. RNAcentral describes it as "eukaryotic LSU rRNA". The stretch from base 480 to 703 matches the Rfam family "Eukaryotic large subunit ribosomal RNA", at positions 1 to 228 of the family's 3401-position model. Lineage: Eukaryota; Fungi. The record is from RNAcentral.
CAUUACCGAGUUUACAACUCCCAAACCCCUGUGAACAUACCUUAAUGUUGCCUCGGCGGAUCAGCCCGCGCCCCGUAAAACGGGACGGCCCGCCAGAGGACCCAAACUCUAAUGUUUCUUAUUGUAACUUCUGAGUAAAACAAACAAAUAAAUCAAAACUUUCAACAACGGAUCUCUUGGUUCUGGCAUCGAUGAAGAACGCAGCAAAAUGCGAUAAGUAAUGUGAAUUGCAGAAUUCAGUGAAUCAUCGAAUCUUUGAACGCACAUUGCGCCCGCUGGUAUUCCGGCGGGCAUGCCUGUUCGAGCGUCAUUUCAACCCUCAAGCCCCCGGGUUUGGUGUUGGGGAUCGGCUCUGCCUUCUGGCGGUGCCGCCCCCGAAAUACAUUGGCGGUCUCGCUGCAGCCUCCAUUGCGUAGUAGCUAACACCUCGCAACUGGAACGCGGCGCGGCCAUGCCGUAAAACCCCAACUUCUGAAUGUUGACCUCGGAUCAGGUAGGAAUACCCGCUGAACUUAAGCAUAUCAAUAAGCGGAGGAAAAGAAACCAACAGGGAUUGCCCUAGUAACGGCGAGUGAAGCGGCAACAGCUCAAAUUUGAAAUCUGGCUUUCGGGCCCGAGUUGUAAUUUGUAGAGGAUACUUUUGAUGCGGUGCCUUCCGAGUUCCCUGGAACGGGACGCCAUAGAGGGUGAGAGCCCCGUCUGG